CGGAGAAUGAGCCUGAGAAACGGCUACCACUUCCAAGGAAGGCAGCAGGCGCGCAAAUUACCCAAUCCCGACACGGGGAGGUAGUGACAAUAUGUAACAAUAUACGGCUUUAUUGUCGUAUAAUUGGAAUGAGUACAAUUUAAAUCCCUUAACGAGGAACAAUUGGAGGGCAAGUCUGGAGCCAGCAGCCGCGGUAAUUCCAGCUCCAAUAGCGUAUAUUAAAGUUGUUGCAGUUAAAAAGCUCGUAGUUGGACCUUGGGCCUGGACAGGCGGUCCGCCUCACGGCGUGUACUGUCUUGCUGGGCCUUUCCUCUUGGUGAUCUGUGGUUUCGGCCGCAGGGAACCAGGACCUUUACUUUGAAAAAAUUAGAGUGUUCAAAGCAGGCUUUACGCCACAAUAUAUUAGCAUGGAAUAAUAAAAUAGGACGUGCGGUUCUAUUUUGUUGGUUUUUGGGAUCGCCGUAAUGAUUAAUAAGGACAGUCGGAGGCAUUAGUACUCACAUGCUAGAGGUGAAAUUCUUGGAUUUUGUGAAGACUAACUUCUGCGAAAGCAUUUGCCAAGGAUGUUUUCAUUAAUCAAGAACGAAGGUUAGGGUAUCGAAAACGAUUAGAUACCGUUGUAGUCUUAAUAGUAAACUAUGCCGACUAGGGAUCGGUCGAUGUUAUUUUCUUGACUCGAUCGGCACCCUACAAGAAAUCAAAGUUUUUGGGUUCUGGGAGGAGUAUGGCCGCAAGGCUGAAACUUAAGGAAAUUGACGGAAGGGGCACCACCAGCAGUGGAGCCUGCGGCUUAAUUUGAUUCAACACGGGGA
Molecule: ribosomal RNA, 812 nt
Filed under: uncultured organism
Description: SSU rRNA
Rfam family: Eukaryotic small subunit ribosomal RNA
Source: RNAcentral